GCUUGUCUCAAAGAUUAAGCCAUGCAUGUCUAAGUAUAAGCAACCUUAUACAGCGAAACUGCGUACAGCUCAUUAUAUCAGCAAUUAUUUAUUUGAAGAUCACCUAUUACAUGGAUAACCGUGGUAAUUCUAGAGCUAAUACAUGCGAAAAGACGGGCCGCAAGGCUUGUUGUAUUUAUUAGAUACAAAACCAAUGCCCUUCGGGGCUCCUUGGUGAUUCAUGAUAACUAUACGAAUCGCACGGCCUUGCGCCGGCGAUGGUUCAUUCAAAUUUCUUCCCUAUCAACUUUCGAUGUUUGGGUAUUGGCCAAACAUGGUUGCAACGGGUAACGGAGGGUUAGGGCUCGACCCCGGAGAAGGAGCCUGAGAAACGGCUACUACAUCCAAGGAAGGCAGCAGG
Molecule: ribosomal RNA, 400 nt
Filed under: Sarocladium strictum
Lineage: Eukaryota; Fungi; Ascomycota; Sordariomycetes; Hypocreales; Sarocladiaceae
Description: partial small subunit ribosomal RNA
Rfam family: Eukaryotic small subunit ribosomal RNA
Source: RNAcentral